ACGCUGAGCACCAGCUUGCUGGUGUGGAUGAGUGGCGAACGGGUGAGUAAUACGUGAGUAACCUGCCCUUGACUCUGGGAUAAGCCCGGGAAACUGGGUCUAAUACUGGAUGCUACAUGUCACCGCAUGGUGGUGUGUGGAAAGGGUUUACUGGUCUUGGAUGGGCUCACGGCCUAUCAGCUUGUUGGUGAGGUAAUGGCUCACCAAGGCGACGACGGGUAGCCGGCCUGAGAGGGUGACCGGCCACACUGGGACUGAGACACGGCCCAGACUCCUACGGGAGGCAGCAGUGGGGAAUAUUGCACAAUGGGCGAAAGCCUGAUGCAGCGACGCCGCGUGAGGGAUGACGGCCUUCGGGUUGUAAACCUCUUUCAGCAGGGAAGAAGCCACAAGUGACGGUACCUGCAGAAGAAGCGCCGGCUAACUACGUGCCAGCAGCCGCGGUAAUACGUAGGGCGCAAGCGUUGUCCGGAAUUAUUGGGCGUAAAGAGCUCGUAGGCGGUUUGUCGCGUCUGCUGUGAAAGCCCGGGGCUUAACCCCGGGUGUGCAGUGGGUACGGGCAGACUAGAGUGCAGUAGGGGAGACUGGAAUUCCUGGUGUAGCGGUGGAAUGCGCAGAUAUCAGGAGGAACACCGAUGGCGAAGGCAGGUCUCUGGGCUGUUACUGACGCUGAGGAGCGAAAGCAUGGGGAGCGAACAGGAUUAGAUACCCUG
Molecule: ribosomal RNA, 713 nt
Filed under: Kocuria palustris
Lineage: Bacteria; Bacillati; Actinomycetota; Actinomycetes; Micrococcales; Micrococcaceae
Description: bacterial SSU rRNA
Rfam family: Bacterial small subunit ribosomal RNA
Source: RNAcentral